This 765-nucleotide ribosomal RNA is filed under the name uncultured Streptococcus sp. RNAcentral describes it as "bacterial SSU rRNA". It matches the Rfam family "Bacterial small subunit ribosomal RNA", at positions 28 to 776 of the family's 1533-position model. The record is from RNAcentral. Lineage: Bacteria; Bacillati; Bacillota; Bacilli; Lactobacillales; Streptococcaceae.
GACGAACGCUGGCGGCGUGCCUAAUACAUGCAAGUAGAACGCUGAAGAGAGGAGCUUGCUCUUCUUGGAUGAGUUGCGAACGGGUGAGUAACGCGUAGGUAACCUGCCUUGUAGCGGGGGAUAACUAUUGGAAACGAUAGCUAAUACCGCAUAACAAUGGGUGACUCAUGUCAUUUAUUUGAAAGGGGCAAAUGCUCCACUACAAGAUGGACCUGCGUUGUAUUAGCUAGUAGGUGAGGUAACGGCUCACCUAGGCGACGAUACAUAGCCGACCUGAGAGGGUGAUCGGCCACACUGGGACUGAGACACGGCCCAGACUCCUACGGGAGGCAGCAGUAGGGAGUCUUCGGCAAUGGGGGCAACCCUGACCGAGCAACGCCGCGUGAGUGAAGAAGGUUUUCGGAUCGUAAAGCUCUGUUGUAAGUCAAGAGCGAGUGUGAGAGUGGAAAGUUCACACUGUGACGGUAGCUUACCAGAAAGGGACGGCUAACUACGUGCCAGCAGCCGCGGUAAUACGUAGGUCCCGAGCGUUGUCCGGAUUUAUUGGGCGUAAAGCGAGCGCAGGCGGUUUGAUAAGUCUGAAGUUAAAGGCUGUGGCUCAACCAUAGUUCGCUUUGGAAACUGUCAAACUUGAGUGCAGAAGGGGAGAGUGGAAUUCCAUGUGUAGCGGUGAAAUGCGUAGAUAUAUGGAGGAACACCGGUGGCGAAAGCGGCUCUCUGGUCUGUAACUGACGCUGAGGCUCGAAAGCGUGGGGAGCGAACAGG